CAGCUGAUUACUUGUCUUUUCAGUAGUGUCUACUGCAGGAUGGAUAUACAAGUAUAACAUAUGUUUUGGUUUGAUAUUUUUCAUAUGUGAACUAUCACAAUUAAAGCACAAAGACAUAAAAUUACACCCCGAGACCAUUCACAAGUGUGACAACAGAGAAGAAACGCUUUCCGGAAGAAAAGUUCUUCAGGCGAGCAGGAGCGUUUACUUUGUCGACUCAUCCAGUUUAGCGGAGAGCAUCAUCCCCUAAUUGACAUGUGGGAAAAAAAUCAUUGAAAGUUGUUCAGCGUACAGUGUACCAGAGGAAGCAUUAGGAAAGAGAAGACAGGACGUGAAAAGGUGCUCAACAGAUGUUGGUGAGACUUUAUUUCUGCAAAUGCAUUAAAGGUCACUCACAUUCUAGUUAGCCAUAAAUGUAAACCUGAUUUUAGAUCGUAUUUAAAUGAGAUUAAUAACUCCAGCUACUUGUAGGCCUACAGUUCUGUAUAUUUCACACUAAAUAAAUUGUGAUGAAGCCUGAAUAAUAAUCACACCAUGUUCAUUUGUUGGUCAGAGGAGAACUGAUCCCUAAACUAUACUUUCUCCCAAGGGUUUUUUUCCUUUCUCCAUGUCACCUGAUGGAGUUUGGGUUCCUUGCCACUGUCGACUUUUGGCUUGCUUAUUUGGGGACACAUAAUAUUCAGCAAUAUUGUUGAUCUGACUCCACUGACACUAUUGGAUAAGGACUGAACUGAGCUAGAUGAUGACACCACUGUUUUCUGCACAACUGCUAUGUAGAUGCAUUGGAACACUGAUCAGUCAACACUGAUUUCAACUGAACAAUGAUACUUUUUACUGUUUAGAGCUGCUUCACAGCAGAAGUGAAUUUUGUUUGCAUCAUUAUUUAUAUUUUUAUCACUGUAAAGUAAUUAAAAUAUAUCUGACGAUAUUUAGUACUGGAUAUACACAAAAAUAGAAUAAAUCAGGAUUUAUUUUUUCACAGCACUGUACACCAGUAUUUAUGUUUAGUGUGACAUUAAUGUGUGGAAAUGAAAUUUUUUUAGUGUGUGAUUGCUAUUUUCAGGAAAAUGCACUGGUAACAACUAAAAUAAAGAAGACCAAAAAUAUAAUUCAACAGAACAAGCACUCAAAUAAUGAAACUAAGACCUGUGGGAGUGCUGGAGAAAUCAAGUGUACCAAGUCCUCUGUCUCCUCAGCCAUGGAAGAGAUCUUCAGACAUGAAGAGAUUGAGGAGUUAAAUGAAGUCAAAGAGCUAAAAGAAGAUCUACAAUAUUAGUGCCAAUUCGGCAUGAAAACAGAGAGAGAGCUGAGGCAGUGGAAAGAAAUGCAUGUUAUUGUGUAGUUGCAUUGACUAUCAGUGGAGGGACAGAAAGCUCUGAGAUUUCAUUAUAAAGAUCUUCAUUUGUGUUCUGAAGAUGAACAAAAGACUUGCGGGUUUUGAACGAAAUGAGGACUACAUCAAAAAUAGUGUUUAAACAGUCAUAAGAACCAUGCAGAACAAUGAGGAUAACCUCUUCAAAAAAUGAAACCUGCCUGAAUAAUGUGCAUGAUUGCGUGAUUUGUAAGUAAACACUAAGUACAUUUAGUGUAACUCACAGCCUGUUAUUUUAAGUUUAAAGAAAAGUAAAAUAAUUUAUUGUUGCAUUGCUGU
Onychostoma macrolepis is the source of this 1651-nucleotide long non-coding RNA. RefSeq lists it as uncharacterized. The record is from RefSeq and is a predicted model, not a curated record. NCBI's taxonomy places the organism in Eukaryota, Metazoa, Chordata, Actinopteri, Cypriniformes, Cyprinidae. The transcript is spliced from 5 exons.